Molecule: unclassified non-coding RNA, 342 nt
Filed under: Candida sp. 3 CS-2017
Lineage: Eukaryota; Fungi; Ascomycota; Pichiomycetes; Serinales; Debaryomycetaceae
Description: sequence contains ITS1
Rfam family: 5.8S ribosomal RNA (bases 118-271)
Source: RNAcentral
AUGUGUUUUUUAUUGAACAAAUUUCUUUGGUGGCGGGAGCAAUCCUACCGCCAGAGGUUAUAACUAAACCAAACUUUUUAUUUACAGUCAAACUUGAUUUAUUAUUACAAUAGUCAAAACUUUCAACAACGGAUCUCUUGGUUCUCGCAUCGAUGAAGAACGCAGCGAAAUGCGAUACGUAAUAUGAAUUGCAGAUAUUCGUGAAUCAUCGAAUCUUUGAACGCACAUUGCGCCCUUUGGUAUUCCAAAGGGCAUGCCUGUUUGAGCGUCAUUUCUCCCUCAAACCCCCGGGUUUGGUGUUGAGCAAUACGCUAGGUUUGUUUGAAAGAAUUUAACGGGAAA